This 885-nucleotide ribosomal RNA is filed under the name uncultured bacterium. RNAcentral describes it as "bacterial SSU rRNA". It matches the Rfam family "Bacterial small subunit ribosomal RNA", at positions 46 to 916 of the family's 1533-position model. The record is from RNAcentral.
GGAUUAGGCAUGCAAGUCGGACGGUAGGGCUUUAUCGUAAGAUAGAGUUUGAGAGUGGCGAACGGGUGAGUAACACGUAGGAAUCUACCCUUAAGACGGGGACAACCCAGGGAAACUUGGGCUAAUACCGGAUGAGAGUGCGAGAGAUUGCAUUUAAAAGGAUGGCGGAAGUUGUCGCUUAGGGAUGAGCCUGCGGUCUAUUAGUUAGUUGGUGAGGUAAGAGCUCACCAAGGCGAUGAUAGAUAGGCGGCCUUAACGGGUGGUCGCCCACACUGGGAUUGAGAUACGGCCCAGACUCCUACGGGAGGCAGCAGUCGAGAAUAGUCUACAAUGGCCGGAAGGCUGAUAGUGCGACGCCGCGUGAACGAGGGAGCCCUUCGGGGUGUAAAGUUCUUUUCUAUACGAGCAGUGCUAUAUAUAUGGAUAGUAUAUAUAGAGGGAUAGUAGUAUAGGAAUAAGCAACGGCUAACUCCGUGCCAGCAGCCGCGGUAACACGGGGGUUGCGAGCGUUGUCCGGAAUUACUAGGCGUAAAGGGCAGGUAGGCGGAUCUACGAGUUUUUUGUUAAAGGCUACGGCUCAACUGUAGUAGAGCAGGAGAUACUGUAGGUCUGGAAUGCGGUAGGGGAAGACAGAAUUCCUGGUGUAGCGGUGGAAUGCGCAGAGAUCAGGAGGAAUACCGAAGGCGAAGGCAGUCUUCUAGGCCGUAAUUGACGCUUAACUGCGAAGGUGUGGGGAUCAAACAGGAUUAGAUACCCUGGUAGUCCACACAGUAAACGAUAAUCACUAGAUGUCGGGUUCUAGAUGGAUUCGGUGUCGGAGCAAACGCGAUAAGUGAUUCGCCUGGGGAGUACGAUCGCAAGGUUGAAACUCAAAUGAAUUGACGG